Anguilla anguilla (European eel) is the source of this 6109-nucleotide long non-coding RNA. RefSeq lists it as uncharacterized. The transcript is spliced from 2 exons. The record is from RefSeq and is a predicted model, not a curated record. Lineage: Eukaryota; Metazoa; Chordata; Actinopteri; Anguilliformes; Anguillidae.
AAGUCUAUCGGAUGUCUCCUUUCUUUCGGUGUCGUCUAUGGAGAUCGAAGCCGCUUUGGAAAAUGAACAAGGGUUACUGGCGUUCUCCGUCCCGAAGUUAGUUCGCAGUCCAAAGCACGCCGGAUAUUUUUUGUUUUGAGAAAACAAUAGUAACCGCUUUUCUGCUUCCGAUUCGUUAACAACGUCAAUAUGUAUUUUUUAUUUGUUAAUUCCAUUUUAGGGCCUGUGUUUACGUAUCUUACUUUAAAUACUCUGCCAUUGUGUCGUUUGUUUCAUUUAAAUAUAAGUGCGGUCAUUGAUUAAUUUUAGCCAUUGAUAUUUUAUGUUAUCGCAAAAUGGCGCAUCUUCCUCCGUAAUUACCCCUCCUUCUGCGUUGCUGAAAAGAUUGACGACGUCUCUAACCAAUAAUGCAUGCGUUGUCAUGUUUUGGAGGCGUUGGUUGGCUCUUCAUGACAUCACUUGACCGUGAGAGGAGGGUGGGCUCUGAGCUGCGAGGGGAGAGCGGCGCAAGCGGAGAAGAACCAUCUUGCUUCAAACGAGGCGACGGCGCCAUUAGAGGGCAGGGUACAACAACCGUGCAAGAGCAGUGCAGAGCGUUUCUAUUGUUUAUGGAUUUUCUGAAUGUAUUCUGUAUGCGCAAGUAUAUUUCUUUGCAAACGGAGUAUCGCUUGUUGAAGUAACGCACACAUUUUAUUAAUAUCUGUAGUGAGGAUAUGGUGGCCGUAUAGAAGAUGGCGGCGGAGUCAACCUUUGGUUAGUGUCAAGAACGCGCAGUUAGGGGUGGGACUGCGCGAUCCCGAGAGUAGCACAGCGGAAAGCCAGCAGAAGGGGGGCACUUCCUGUUUUGACGUUUCAGUGGCUAAAAGACAAAAAGCCAUUUAAAUCUUGGCGAGCCCUUAAAGGGUGCACUUUUCCUCGUUUUGGACUCAACAUUGUUUCCGUCUUUGCUCCAGACGUCACUCUUCAACAGUUCCGUAUGGUUUGGUAAUGAUUAGCAGUUGGGGAGGUGAUCCUAUUUUCUACCAGUCUUAAAUUGGCUUUCAUUAGCUAGAUGCUCGAGUAUUUGUAACGGGGCCAGACUGGAAUUAGUGAAGGAGUAACGGGAGUGAGCAAACUUAAAAUGUUGCGGGGUUUCUCGCAAAGUACUGCAUAUGACAAACAUUCAAAUCCUUUUUGCGUUAAAAGGAUAACCGGAAACGCAGAGCUAAUCUAUUAACGUUAGUUCAUUGAAUUUUGUUGUUAUUGUGUUAUUGAUAAUAGUAACUCUAGCUUGCUAUGUCGUUUCAUUUAAUGCACAAUUCUUGCGAUGUAUUAUAACUACUUUACGUUAAAUCGCGUUAUGUCUAGACAGCUUGGAAAGAUCACGAACGAGUUCAUUAGCUAAAGUUACUGCCCGGGUCCGCCAUGUUGUCGUCCGCUGCUUCUCGUCUUGUCAUUAGUAAAUGGCGAAUGCUUUUUUUUUCUGUGCCACUUGGAUGUAGCCACUAGCUAACCCAGAGCUUGAGGUUCAUUUGUGAAACCUUGACAUGGGCGUGGCAUGGACGACAUUGCACAAUCAGCCAUAAUGUUUUAGUGCAUUCGUUUUAUUUUUGAAAUACUUUGGUCGAUUUCUCAAAUUGCGACGGUAUGUUGUGUAGAUAACUAUAGAAGCUGUAUACCCCAGUAAACAAGCGUCGAUUGUGCUGUUCUGUUAAAUCGUGCUAGUUUUAAAAUGAACUAGCUCGCCAAACAUUUAUUUUUUUGUAUGUUUUUUCAGGGGCUACCUUGUCCGUAUGCAGUGGUGAGUUUUGCAUAGUACUGCCAUGGUUUCCAGGCAGCAAGUCUGAUUGUUUUUGUGUGCAGCAGUUAAGAGGAUUUUGUAGUAAAGUCUUGCAUAUGAUAUCUUUUUGUUCUGUGUCCAUGUUUUUCUCUGCCUGACAUGGUGUUCCUUACCUAUAAUUAAUAUUCAUCUGGCUCAGUACAUGUACCACAGCCUCCAGAGGUCAUUUAGGAUGAAAUGGUGGGAGGUGAUGUAUGGAUGGGGUAACAUCUGUCGCAGCAUUUAAUGUGCCUUUGUAGGUUGUUUGAAUAAAGAAAUAUAUGUAAAAUAUAUAAAUUCUCUUACCACUCCUCAGCCUUGCUGGGUAGCAUGCAUCAUCUGAGGUGAUGCAUGCUACCCAGCAUCAUCCAAGGUGUUUGAUUAUGACCGCACCAACUGGCUAAAUUAUAAAACAGUCACUGAAUCUGCAUGGGAAGUAUUGUGUGUCACAGUUGGUCUAUAUAGAGGUGGGAGGGAGUAUAGCUGGAGUAAUACAAUACCUGUCCAUUGUCAACUGCUUAAGGCCAGUCAUAAAGCACAAUUAAAUCUUACCUGGGUAUUACAGCUACACCCCCCCCCCUUCCAAUUCCUCCAUGCAAAAUUUGUUCUGGCACAAUAUCGGUGGACAGCAAAUUUCAGGUCAUAGAUUUAAGGCUGGGUUUUGGCUCGACAGAAUACGGACCUCCUUUUUAAGCCAUUCCUUUGUGUUCUUUGGGUCAUUGCCCUGUUUGAACAUGAAUCUUUGUUCUAAAUACUGAUCUUUAGCAGACUGAAACGGGUUCAAGGAUUUGCCUGUAUUUGACUCCGUUCCUCCUGCUGAAAAGAAACCCCAUCACAAUGCUUUAUGGCAGGGACAGUGUUACCUUAGUAAUGGGCUGUGUUUUGGGGGGGGGGGGGGGGGGCGGCUUGUGGCAAACUUCAUGAUCUGCAUUAAUGUUGACCUUUCUCAGAAUUCACUUCUGUCCAGCCACUCUCACAGAGGCCAGAUCUGAAGAGAUUCUUGGUCUAUGGACAGUUUCUCCCAUUUCAGCCAAUCAGCUCUGCAGCUUCUUUCCCCACAGUAUUAUAGCUGGCCUUUUAGUGACUUCUCUGACGAUUGCCCUUGUCCGUUUGCUCAAUAUUGGAGGAUGGCCUGCUGUUGGUAUUGUCUGGGUUGUGGCAUUUUGUUUCAGCAGACUUAACCAUUACUCCAAGAAAGGUCUUUAUAACCAAGUUAUUUCUCAAAGUUACAUGGGCAGUUCCUUGAUCUUCACAACAGGGCAGCUGAUCUGACCUGCCAUUUCAGUUCAGCCAUGUAAUUGAACACAGGUGGACUUUUAUUGAGGGUAGAAAAAUAGAGUAUAAACAUAUUUUAAUUUGGCUUUGUAGCACACCAAAAUGAGAAAUAACUGUCAGAAGAUAUGUAUCUGGCAUGGCUGAAGUCCUCAGUUGAACAAAAUGUUUUCUUUACUAGAAUUCAAUUAAAAAGUCUUUCAGUAUGAGGUGAGGUUUAACUUUGAGGCCCAUCUGAUAGUUGAUAUUCUCGUGAAUUUUAAGAUAUGAAGUGUUAAGACCUGUGCUCGUAAUGGUCGUUUCAUUUCAGGUGCUUUUCUAGAUCUUUAUCACCUACUGCCUGCUCCACCAUCAUCUCUGCUGCAGCUAUCCAGAGAAGACAAUGCAGCAGCUGGUUGCUGGGUGUCAAACAACCGUUCUCAUGUAGUUCCACAGUUGUACAAGAAUGCGUUUAUGGGUGUCGCAAUUCUGUUUGGAUGUUUGGACCCGUCCUCCCUUGGGCUUGAAGGCUGCUUGAGAAAGCAAAACCGCUCACCAGGAAAGCACUAUAUAAUGAGCCUUUUCAAAAGGUUUGCAAUGCGGUUGUUUUGUUGGGAUAUUCUAAAGCAAAAUGUUUUAAUCCCUAUACUUAAUUUUACUUUUGAUAAACACAGGAAGAGACAGUAUUGUGGGGCUUAAAUGAUGAAUUGUUUAAACGGAAGACUACAUUUCAAAGCAUUGCCUUAAAUGGCAAUCAGGCUAGCAGGUGUCUGCUCAACUGGCACAUCUCACGUAAUGGUCUCAAUUCAUUUUCCUUUGGAUUAUUCCAAGUUGUACAGUUGAACAGAUUUUUUUUUUAAUCACCCACGCUUGAAUAAAAUAUGUUUUCAUAAAAUUAUGACUGACAGUUGGCAACGGGAGAAUAACGCCUGCAACGCACGUCAGAAUUCCAUAAACAGACGCAGCAGAUCCGUGCAUGUAUCGAUACCUGGUUUGCAAAUAUAUAAUGCUGCAGAAAUAUUCUGCUAAAAGUAAAAUCAUCUGUGAAUAAUUAUAAAAUGUAGAGCCCGCUAACAAUUAUCUGGGGCAUUUGGGCUUGUACAUUCCUAAAAAUAACCGAUUCCAAAGCAAAGUGUACGUGUGCUUCUGUAAAUUAUCAAAAUGGCAGUGAGCUGGGCAGCUUCAUAAGAAUGGUGUACUUUGCAUAUAAAACCAUUUUUGACAUCCGCAUCUGUUCAUUACACAGAUAGCAUUGGCUGCGCGUUCUGAAAUGUCAUUUCUGCUGGAACCUCGAACAGCUAUUAAAAGGAAGUGCAAACGGUUACUGUCAAAGUAUUACCAGCAAGCCUCGAAAUUCAAUAUACCAACAUGAAUACCAAACAUGUUGAAUUCGAUAUGCUAAAAACAUUUUCUUGGUCAGCGUUUUCUGCAAAUAUUAGCAACUGCACACCAAAGCGCAUUUGGAUCUCGGUGCCGGCGUUAAUUGGCUGAAUAUGAAUUUAAAUAGCUUAGAGGCUGAAAGACCGUUAUGUGGCACCCAUUAAGUCACUAACCUCGGCAGACGUGCUCAUCUGUAUAUCCGCAUUUAGAAACGAGUCACUACUGAUGACGAUACAGUAAUUUAGGAAUUAAAGAGGAUGUUACCCUUGCGAACAACGCCUACGUUAAAAUUUCUGACACAAACAACCAAAGAGACCCGCAUGCCAACACAUUACAGAAGCAGUGUCGUGUAACAUUAAAACAUCCGUUAUCCGCCUAACAUUUAUAAAGCGCCCCCUGGUGUGAGCUGAGAAUAGUUACAUUGUUGCGGUGCAGUAAAAAAAAAAGGGGGGGGGACAGUUGUUUGAAUGGGGUAAUCAGUUUAUUCCGAUGUAGGUUGCAUAGUUGGUUACGGUCAAGUUCCUGUCGCACGACGGAAAUGCAUUUCAGGUUAAAAUACAUACUGUUUCACCAAAGGUUUAUAAAUUGAAAUCUCAUCGGUUGGCGAGACUCUGAAGUCCUAGUCCUGUAAAAACAUUAUGUAGCCUAUAGGACAGCAAAGUUCACAAUAGUUUUCUAAGGUAAACUGGUUUAACCCCAUUACGAAUGGUGCUCAAUAUAUCCCAUAGAACAUUUGCAAGUUAAUAUAGGUGAUAAGCCAUAUAUCUGCUUGUAUUUAUAGCCUAAUGAGGAAAAAGAUACUCACACACUAUAUUAAAUGGCCCCAAGGAAAGUUUGAUGGUGCAAGCAUGUAAUAGAUCUCAAAAGGUCUUUGUUAGGUAUACUUCAUACUCCCAACACCUGUGCAAUGUAUGUGUCUUUAUACUACCUUUCUCUUUACUAAUAGGUAAGUCAACAGGAUGCCAGGUGUCCCAGAAUGUUCACAGCACCUUACCUGCUUUUUCCCCAGCAAUAAAUUUGGUUUCAUUAAAGGCAGCUCCUAAUAGGGGCUGUUACCAGAACUAUUUCUAUCUUCAGUGAUGGAGGAGGCAUGGAUAUUUUGCCAGUAUAAGGUUGUUUUUGUUGAUGUUUUUAGUGAAAAGUGGUUUGUGGCUCAUACAGACAGAAUCACCACAGAUAUGUCAAGGAACAUUACCUCACAGACACCUCCACACCCCUGAAGGCUUCUGUGAAAUUUAAAAACAUGUAAAUAUAUUUUGACUGAUGAAGACGACUAGCCAUGGACCCCACUCAACUGACUGACUGAUUGAACCUGUCCUCCAGAUAGCUCAGCAUAAUCCUAAAUAAAUUCUGUUAAAUCAUGACAGGUAAUGUGCAACACACCAUUUUUAACAUUACAAAAGCAAAUAUAGAAAAUAGUAAAGGAAGAGUGGCACUUAUUUUAUGUGAACACAACAGCCACAUUUCUACCUUAAUACUUUAAACGUUCUUUUAAAAAUCAUGCUUGAUCCCUGUAUUAGAUUAUACCAUGACGGAUGAAACUCUGCUGCCAGUAUAUUGCACCUAUAGGGCACGAUUCUGUUUUUUUUUUUUUUUUUUUUCCAUUUGUAUUUUAAGUGCUAUUAAGAUAAGGAUAAUGCUGUCUUUAAAUGCCGUAUAAUAAUAAAGCUAAACUAAGAA